GAUGGACGCUGGCGGCGUGCCUAAUACAUGCAAGUCGAGCGAACAGAUAAGGAGCUUGCUCCUUUGACGUUAGCGGCGGACGGGUGAGUAACACGUGGGUAACUUACCUAUAAGACUGGAAUAACUCCGGGAAACCGGGGCUAAUGCCGGAUAACAUGUUGAACCGCAUGGUUCUACAGUGAAAGGCGGCUUUGCUGUCACUUAUAGAUGGACCCGCGCCGUAUUAGCUAGUUGGUGAGGUAACGGCUCACCAAGGCAACGAUACGUAGCCGACCUGAGAGGGUGAUCGGCCACACUGGAACUGAGACACGGUCCAGACUCCUACGGGAGGCAGCAGUAGGGAAUCUUCCGCAAAGGGCGAAAGCCUGACGGAGCAACGCCGCGUGAGUGAUGAAGGUCUUCGGAUCGUAAAACUCUGUUAUUAGGGAAGAACAAAUGCGUAAGUAACUGUGCGCGUCUUGACGGUACCUAAUCAGAAAGCCACGGCUAACUACGUG
Molecule: ribosomal RNA, 497 nt
Filed under: uncultured bacterium
Lineage: Bacteria
Description: partial 16S ribosomal RNA
Rfam family: Bacterial small subunit ribosomal RNA
Source: RNAcentral